Molecule: long non-coding RNA, 229 nt
Filed under: Lathyrus oleraceus (garden pea)
Lineage: Eukaryota; Viridiplantae; Streptophyta; Magnoliopsida; Fabales; Fabaceae
Description: Pisum sativum (pea) long non-coding RNA (PSAT_LNC034158)
Source: RNAcentral
AAGGUUAUAGGAGGUGGUGCUAGCAUGAUAUCCUGACACUCAUUUUGAACAAGAAGUUGCUGAUGUAGUGCAUGGACCACUUGAGUAGCUGAUCGGUCUCCAAUUCUACUUGUUUUCUGACACUCAUUCGGCACAAUUUCACGAAGUCGGCAACACAUUAUUCUACCUGUUUUCUUGUUCUGUUUAGUAAAUUAGAUAUUUGCAUUUUUAUUUCAGUUUGAUGAUUUCU